RNAcentral lists this ribosomal RNA (403 nucleotides) under Speocera javana. Its description in RNAcentral is "partial large subunit ribosomal RNA". Lineage: Eukaryota; Metazoa; Arthropoda; Arachnida; Araneae; Ochyroceratidae. The record is from RNAcentral.
CCUGCUCAAUGAUAUCUAAAUAGCCGCUUUAAGUGCUAAGGUAGCACAAUAAAUUGCUCUCUAAUUAAGAGAUAGAAUGAAAGGAAACACGAUUUUUUAGUUGUAUCAAUAUAUCACUAUAAAUUAUAUAUAUACGUAAAAAUUCUAUAUAAAAUUAGAAGGACGACAAGACCCUAAUGAACUUUUAUUCUAAUUUGUACUGGGAAGGUAAAAAACUAUAUCUUUUUUAUUUAAUUAAUAUACGCCUCAAUUGAAUAAAUAUAAGUUACCGUAGGGAUAACAGCAUAAUAAUUUAUUAAAGCCCUCAUAUAAUAAAUUGUUUAUGACCUCGAUGUUGAAUUAACUACCCUUCUUAUAGAAAAAAAUAAAAAAGGAAGUCUGUUCGACUUUCAAUACGUUACAU